This 254-nucleotide ribosomal RNA is filed under the name uncultured bacterium. RNAcentral's name for it is "partial 16S ribosomal RNA". It matches the Rfam family "Bacterial small subunit ribosomal RNA", at positions 524 to 776 of the family's 1533-position model. The record is from RNAcentral.
GACGUAGGGCGCGAGCGUUGUCCGGAUUUAUUGGGCGUAAAGAGCUCGUAGGCGGCUUGUUGCGUCGACUGUGAAAACCUGCGGCUCAACCGUGUGGUCUGCAGUCGAUACGGGCAGGCUGGAGUUCGGUAGGGGAGACUGGAAUUCCUGGUGUAGCGGUGAAAUGCGUAGAUAUCCGGAGGAACACCGGUGGCGAAGGCGGCUUCCUGGACCGACACUGACGCUGAGGCGCGAAAGCUAGGGGAGCAAACGGG